UACGGAGGGGGCUAGCGUUGUUCGGAGUUACUGGGCGUAAAGGGUGUGUAGGCGGUUUUCUAAGUUUGGUGUGAAAUCUCCCGGCUCAACCGGGAGGGUGCGCCGAAAACUGGGAGACUAGAGUGCGGGAUGGGAGAGUAGAAUUCCUGGUGUAGCGGUGAAAUGCGUAGAUAUCAGGAGGAAUACCGGUGGUGUAGACGGCUCUCUGGACCGCCACUGACGCUGAGACACGAAAGCGUGGGUAGCAAACAGG
Molecule: ribosomal RNA, 253 nt
Filed under: uncultured bacterium
Lineage: Bacteria
Description: partial 16S ribosomal RNA
Rfam family: Bacterial small subunit ribosomal RNA
Source: RNAcentral